CCUACGGGUGGCAGCAGUGGGGAAUAUUGGGCAAUGGGCGCAAGCCUGACCCAGCAACGCCGCGUGAAGGAAGAAGGCUUUCGGGAUGGAAACUUCUUUUCUCAGGGACGAAGCAAGUGAUGGUACCUGAGGAAUAAGCCACGGCUAACGACGGGCCAGCAGCCGCGGCAAUACGUAGUUGGCAAGCGUUAUCCGGAUUUACUGGGUGUAACGGGCGGGUAGGCGGGACUGCAAGUCAGAUGUGAAAACCAUGGGCUCAACCUGUGGCCUGCAUUUGAAACUGUAGUUCUUGAGUACUGGAGAGGCAGGCGGAAUUCCUAGUGUAGCGGUGAAAUGCGUAGAUAUUAGGCGGAACACCAGUGGCGAAGGCGGUCUGCUGGACAGCAACUGACGCUGAGGCGCGAAAGCGUGGGGAGCAAACAGGAUUAGAUACCCGAGUAGUC
This 443-nucleotide ribosomal RNA is filed under the name uncultured bacterium. RNAcentral's name for it is "partial 16S ribosomal RNA". It matches the Rfam family "Bacterial small subunit ribosomal RNA", at positions 338 to 795 of the family's 1533-position model. The record is from RNAcentral.